UACCAGCUCUCCGAGUGGUGUGGAUGUUUAUUGGGCCUAAAGCAUCCGUAGCUGGCUGGACAAGUCCCCUGUUAAAUCCACCGAUUUAAUCGUUGGUGUGCGGGGGAUACUGUUCGGCUAGGGGACGGGAGAGGCAGACGGUAUUUUCGGGGUAGGGGUGAAAUCCUAUAAUCCCGGGAAGACCACCAGUGGCGAAGGCUGUCUGCUAGAACGCGCCCGACGGUGAGGGAUGAAAGCUGGGGGAGCGAACCGGAUUAGAUACCCGGGUAGUCCCAGCUGUAAACGAUGCAGGCCAGGUGUUUGGACGGCCACGUGCCGUUCUAGUGCCGCAGGGAAGCCGUUAAGCCUGCCGCCUGGGGAGUACGGCCGCAAGGCUGAAACUUAAAGGAAUUGGCGGGGGGGCACCACAAGGGGUGAAGCUUGCGGUUU
Molecule: ribosomal RNA, 429 nt
Filed under: uncultured archaeon
Lineage: Archaea
Description: bacterial SSU rRNA
Rfam family: Archaeal small subunit ribosomal RNA
Source: RNAcentral